Molecule: transfer RNA, 74 nt
Filed under: Batrachocottus multiradiatus
Lineage: Eukaryota; Metazoa; Chordata; Actinopteri; Perciformes; Cottidae
Also listed under: 13 other names
Description: tRNA-Leu
Rfam family: tRNA
About the family: Transfer RNA (tRNA) molecules are approximately 80 nucleotides in length. Their secondary structure includes four short double-helical elements and three loops (D, anti-codon, and T loops). Further hydrogen bonds mediate the characteristic L-shaped molecular structure. tRNAs have two regions of fundamental functional importance: the anti-codon, which is responsible for specific mRNA codon recognition, and the 3' end, to which the tRNAs corresponding amino acid is attached (by aminoacyl-tRNA synthetases). tRNAs cope with the degeneracy of the genetic code in two manners: having more than one tRNA (with a specific anti-codon) for a particular amino acid; and 'wobble' base-pairing, i.e. permitting non-standard base-pairing at the 3rd anti-codon position.
Source: RNAcentral
GUUAAGGUGGCAGAGCCCGGUAAUUGCAAAAGACCUAAGCCCUUUCAACAGAGGUUCAAGUCCUCUCCUCAACU